This 497-nucleotide ribosomal RNA is filed under the name uncultured bacterium. RNAcentral's name for it is "partial 16S ribosomal RNA". It matches the Rfam family "Bacterial small subunit ribosomal RNA", at positions 28 to 507 of the family's 1533-position model. The record is from RNAcentral.
GAUGAACGCUGGCGGCGUGCCUAAUACAUGCAAGUCGAGCGAACAGACGAGGAGCUUGCUCCUCUGACGUUAGCGGCGGACGGGUGAGUGACACGUGGAUAACCUACCUAUAAGACUGGGAUAACUUCGGGAAACCGGAGCUAAUACCGCAUAAUAUAUUGAACCGCAUGGUUCAAUAGUGAAAGACGGUUUUGCUGUCACUUAUAGAUGGAUCCGCGCCGCAUUAGCUAGUUGGUAAGGUAACGGCUUACCAAGGCAACGAUGCGUAGCCGACCUGAGAGGGUGAUCGGCCACACUGGAACUGAGACACGGUCCAGACUCCUACGGGAGGCAGCAGUAGGGAAUCUUCCGCAAUGGGCGAAAGCUUGACGGAGCAACGCCGCGUGAGUGAUGAAGGUCUUCGGAUCGUAAAACUCUGUUAUUAGGGAAGAACAAAUGUGUAAGUAACUAUGCACGUCUUGACGGUACCUAAUCAGAAAGCCACGGCUAACUACGUG